Long non-coding RNA from Triticum dicoccoides, 2451 nucleotides. RefSeq lists it as uncharacterized. The record is from RefSeq and is a predicted model, not a curated record. Lineage: Eukaryota; Viridiplantae; Streptophyta; Magnoliopsida; Poales; Poaceae. The transcript is spliced from 3 exons.
CGCAGCCACAGAGACGCGCCGCCGCCCCGCCCCGCCGCCCCUACCCUAGGCAGCGGCAGCCUCCUCCGCUCUCCCCCGCUUGCCCACGUGCAUGCAGGCGCUCCUCAGUGCGCGCGCGGACGGCAGCGUGCAGGAGCCCCGCAGCAUCGCAGGCGCCAGACAGCAGCGGCAACACUCGUUGGCUGCAGUGCUUUGGUUGGCUGGCAGAAGCGGAGGCGCCGGCCGUCCGGAGCUAGGGUUCGGCUCGCUCACACAGGCGCACGCCGCCACGCGCCCCGUGCCGGAGGGAGGAGGUCGCAACCAGUCGCCGCAUCCAGCGCAUCGGCCGUUGGAGCCUUGGAGGGACGCCGAGAUUUAGAAAUGAAGAGAAAGACUACGAACAUGCAUGAUUUUUAUGCAAGCAGUUCAGUUACUCCUCCCCCUGCCAAUGUUGAACCUAAACUUGCCCCAGCUAAUGUGACUGCAAAUCCCCUCCCCUUAGUUGCUGUGAGCACAAUGCCUCCUGGCUGAACCCCCAAAUGAGGAGAUCAAUGGUACCACAUCUGAUGAGAGUACAAACCGACCAAGGCAGCGCAUAUUAGAAUUCCAUCCAAGUCAAGUUAUUAAGAAUUGCAUUGGAGAUAAGAACUUCUCAAUCCUUAUUGAUGAGGCUAGAUAUUGCUGAGUAGAAGAGCAAAUGGCAGUGACUGUGAGAUUUCUUGAUGACCAUGGGGAGCUUCAGGAAAGGUUCCUUGCAACUAAGCACAUCAACGAUUGUACAUCUGCUGGAAUUAAAGAAGCUUCGGUUGAUGUGUUGGAUUAUCAUGGUUUGCAGAUUUCUAGGCUACGUGGACAGGGUUAUGAUGGGGCUUCAAAUAUGAGAGGAGAAUUCAAUGGUUUGCAAAAAUUGGUUAGAGAUGAAGCUCCAUAUGCAUUUUAUGUUCAUUACUUUGCUUACCAGUUGCUGUUGGUGGUUGUCAAUGUUGCUCAAUGUAGUCCUGCUAUUGCUGAUUUCUUCAACUAUAUCCCACUUAUAGUGACUCAAGUGCGUUCAUCUUGCAAGAGGAAAGAUGCAUUACUGGCCAAACAUCAAGACGAAUUGUUAGAUUUGAUGGAGAAUGGAAAGAUUUCAUCCGGAACCUGGUUGGAUCAAGAAUCUAGCCUAACAAGACAAGGAGAUACUCGUUGGGGCUCACAUCUUAGAACCUUGCUUCGCAUAUUCACAAUGUGGAAUGCUGUGGUGGAUGUGCUAGGAAUUGUAGUGGUUGAUGCUCGGGAACACGCUUGUCAAGGUGGAGCUUCAGGUUUGCUUAUUAAGAUGGAAUGCUUUGAAUUUGUGGUCAUCAUGUUUUUCUCAAUAAACUUGUUCAACACCACAAAUUAUCUAUCACAAGCUUUGCAAAGAAAGCCAUGCAUUUGAUCUUAGAUGUGAAAGAAUGCUUGCAAGACAUGAGGGACAAUGGGUGGGAGUCUUUAUUCAGCCAAGCCAAGAGCUUUUGUGAGGCACAUGACAUUGAUGUGCCAAAUAUGGAUGAUCUUGUUGGAGCUAUGGGUCAAUCCGUUCGCACUAAGAAUAAGGUGACUCGACUUCACUAUUACAAGGUUAGCAUAUUCAAUGUUGCCAUUGAUGCAACUAUCACUGAGAUGAAUCAUCGAUUCACUGAAGUUUCCACCGAGUUUAUUGGAUUGUAUGUCUUGUCUUAAUCAGCAAACAACUUCUCAAAGUUUAAUGUUGACAAACUAAUUCGGCUUGCUGAAAUUUAUGCUGAGGACUUUACAAAAGCUGACCGGUUGUUGCUAAGAUUUGACCUUCCAAGAUUCCUUAUGAACAUUAGGAGAAGUGAGGAAUUUAAUGGAUGCCGAGAUAUGUCCACACUUGCUCGAUUGAUGGUUCAAACAAGGAAACACACAUCUUUCUGGUUGGUAUAUCGCCUCAUUGAGUUGGCGCUGAUUCUUCCUAAUCCUAUGGCAACUGCACCAGUUGAGUGAAUAUUUUCGGUAAUGAAGAUCAUCGAGACAGAUUUGCACAAUGAGGUAUCAAAUGAGUGUCUAAAUGAUUUAAUGGCGUGCUACUGCGAUAAAGAGAUAUUCAGAAGCAAUGAAGCAUUCAUGAUGAUCAAAUCAUGAUAGAAUUCCAGAAAAUGAGGGAUCAUAAAGGACAUUUGCCUCAUGAGUUUAAUGUGAUUUAGAGGUAUAUGUCAGUUUUGGUAGUGUUAAUAGUCAACCGUGGACGCCUUGCUAUUAUACCACUAAAAAUUGUGUUAAAUUGGAGUAUUGGACAGAUGGCUUGCGUCUGGUCACUUGGGCAUACAUUUCUAUAUUAUGUUUUGGAGGGGUUCUACCAUAGCAUUAGUAAGAAACAACACCAUAUCAUUGUUUUGGUCUUUUAAUUGUUGCUUCUCUACUACUUGAUGUAUUGUGUGUAAACUGUAUGAAACUUUGUGGUAUGGUCAAAUAUGUUACUAGUAUUGG